GAUGAACGCUGGCGGCGUGCUUAACACAUGCAAGUCGAACGGAAAGGCUCCUGCUUGCAGGGGUACUCGAGUGGCGAACGGGUGAGUAACACGUGGGUGAUCUGCCCUGCACUUCGGGAUAAGCCUGGGAAACUGGGUCUAAUACCGGAUAGGACCACAUUUUGGAUGGUGUGGUGGAAAGUUUUUCGGUGUGGGAUGAGCUCGCGGCCUAUCAGCUUGUUGGUGGGGUAAUGGCCUACCAAGGGGUCGACGGGUAGCCGGCCUGAGAGGGUGUACGGCCACAUUGGGACUGAGAUACGGCCCAGACUCCUACGGGAGGCAGCAGUGGGGAAUAUUGCACAAUGGGCGCAAGCCUGAUGCAGCGACGCCGCGUGGGGGAUGACGGCCUUCGGGUUGUAAACUCCUUUCGCUAGGGACGAAGCGCAAGUGACGGUACCUGGAGAAGAAGCACCGGCUAACUACGUG
RNAcentral lists this ribosomal RNA (465 nucleotides) under uncultured bacterium. Its description in RNAcentral is "partial 16S ribosomal RNA". It matches the Rfam family "Bacterial small subunit ribosomal RNA", at positions 28 to 507 of the family's 1533-position model. The record is from RNAcentral.